Molecule: non-coding RNA, 764 nt
Organism: Onychostoma macrolepis
Lineage: Eukaryota; Metazoa; Chordata; Actinopteri; Cypriniformes; Cyprinidae
Source: the annotation of a RefSeq genome assembly
UUAAAAACGUAAUAAUAGGUCGUAAUACGCUGCUUGCACAAACGACCUAUGGGGUCGUUUUUCGGAGGAGGACAGUCUCGUUCAGUGACUAAUACAGCUGCAGUGUACUCUACCACUGUUUUAUUGAGGUGAUGGAGAUCUGUAUGGACUCCUACUGAUGAUUAUUUCAUCUGUUAGUGGUCAGUCUUUGACCUCCUCAGAUUCUGUGGUGAAAAAGCCUGGAGACUCAGUGACUCUGUCCUGCACUGUGUCUGGAUUCUCAAUGAGCAGCUACUGGAUGCACUGGAUCCGUCAGAAACCAGGGAAAGCACUGGAGUGGAUUGGAUUUAUAAACACUGGUUCAAGUGCAUAUUUUGCUCAGUCUCUACAGGGCCAGUUCUCCAUCACCAAAGACACCAGCAAAAACAUGCUGUAUUUAGAGGUGAAAAGCCUGAAGACUGAAGACACAGCUGUUUAUUACUGUGCUAGAGACUCACAGUUACACAAAAGACUGCAGGACUGAACAAAAACUAGUUAUACGAUCUGAGGGUCCAAGAACAUGUUUCAGUACACUUCACUUUUUGUUAAUUCUUGUUAAUUCUCUGAGUGUUUUAGAAAUUGAUGUAAAUAUUUAUAUAGUCACAGAAACAGAUGGGAUCUCAGAGCAUGUUGUUCACUUUGACAGAUGCUAAUGACAUCUCACGGAUUGAAAACACACAACACCUGGUUUUUAAACAGUCUGUAUGCAGAAUUAAAAUAAAUGAAUAAAUAAAUCAGACAUUGUU